CCAGUGAACAUCUUCCAUUGAAGCUUCUAUGAUUAUUUCACAAUAUUCAGCAAUCCACCCAAUGCUAACUGGGGAUGUUUGAUUUUGCAGCCUCUUUCAGAGCAGUUGCUAAAAGUCGCUCCACAUCAUCAGAGGGCUUCCCUCCCUCAGUCCAUGAGAGCAACUAAGUUUUGCAUCAGUGAAAGGAAGAAAAAGCAGGAGUCUGGAUUACAUGAUUUUUUGUUCCAGCUACUCUACGUGUGUCUGCUGUAUUCUUCGGUCUCUGGAGACUAAUUUCUUAUAAACAUUUCCAUAUAGGAAGCGUAAAAGAACAAAAAUUAGUGGGAGAUAGGCUUCCUGAGGGAAAGGACCACGUUUCUCCUAUUUACCAUGCUGUCUCCCGCUCCAGCACAUCUUUCAGCGAUGCUGACCUGCGGAAACCAGAGCAGUACAUGGUGUGUACUACGCUAUCCUAAGCUAUUAUAAGCAUUGCUUCUUUUUCUUCUCCCACCCAGAAACUUGAAAGUUUUCUUUUCCUUACUCUGUUCCUCUGUGAGUU
This 538-nucleotide long non-coding RNA is filed under the name Piliocolobus tephrosceles (Ugandan red Colobus). RNAcentral's name for it is "lncRNA (ENSPTEG00000034494.1)". Lineage: Eukaryota; Metazoa; Chordata; Mammalia; Primates; Cercopithecidae. The record is from RNAcentral.